CACUCCUGCGGGAGGCAGCAGUGGGGAAUAUUGCACAAUGGGCACAAGCCUGAUGCAGCCAUGCCGCGUGUAUGAAGAAGGCCUUCGGGUUGUAAAGUACUUUCAGCGGGGAGGAAGGCGAUAAGGUUAAUAACCUUGUCGAUUGACGUUACCCGCAGAAGAAGCACCGGCUAACUCCGUGCCAGCAGCCGCGGUAAUACGGAGGGUGCAAGCGUUAAUCGGAAUUACUGGGCGUAAAGCGCACGCAGGCGGUCUGUCAAGUCGGAUGUGAAAUCCCCGGGCUCAACCUGGGAACUGCAUUCGAAACUGGCAGGCUAGAGUCUUGUAGAGGGGGGUAGAAUUCCAGGUGUAGCGGUGAAAUGCGUAGAGAUCUGGAGGAAUACCGGUGGCGAAGGCGGCCCCCUGGACAAAGACUGACGCUCAGGUGCGAAAGCGUGGGGAGCAAACAGGAUUAGAUACCCGGGUAGUCCCA
This 472-nucleotide ribosomal RNA is filed under the name uncultured organism. Its description in RNAcentral is "partial 16S ribosomal RNA". It matches the Rfam family "Bacterial small subunit ribosomal RNA", at positions 334 to 797 of the family's 1533-position model. The record is from RNAcentral.